CACGUAGGGGGCAAGCGUUGUCCGGAAUCAUUGGGCGUAAAGCGCGUGUAGGCGGCCCGAUAAGUCCGCUGUGAAAGUCCAGGGCUCAACCCUGGAAUGCCGGUGGAUACUGUCGGGCUCGAGUCCGGAAGAGGCGAGUGGAAUUCCUGGUGUAGCGGUGAAAUGCGCAGAUAUCAGGAAGAACACCCGUGGCGAAGGCGGCUCUCUGGGACGGUACUGACGCUGAGACGCGAAAGCGUGGGGAACGAACAGG
Molecule: ribosomal RNA, 253 nt
Filed under: uncultured bacterium
Lineage: Bacteria
Description: partial 16S ribosomal RNA
Rfam family: Bacterial small subunit ribosomal RNA
Source: RNAcentral